UUGAAGGUGUGCCAUAGGUCCUUUGCUUGUUUAAAUCCUGGGCCUCGCAGCAGAAUGCUGCGAAGACAGCCGCAACUCAAGUCUCUCUGCCUGGACGCCCCCUGUCAAAUAAGGUCCUGAAAUUCUGCACUUUCAGCGAGUAUCCAAGUGACAAAUGCUGCUAGUCCUCAGAUGACACUGAAUAGUGAGAGAAAUGCUCACAACCACAUUGGAGGAGUAACAGCGACACCUGGUUCGUGGAGGCAAUUAGUACACAUACACUGAGCAGCUCUGCAGCACAGUGCACCAGCCUCAGGUGACUCUACCUCAUCAAAUCUUCUAUCAGAGACUCAAAAAG
Eptesicus fuscus (big brown bat) is the source of this 337-nucleotide long non-coding RNA. RefSeq lists it as uncharacterized. The record is from RefSeq and is a predicted model, not a curated record. The transcript has 3 exons. NCBI's taxonomy places the organism in Eukaryota, Metazoa, Chordata, Mammalia, Chiroptera, Vespertilionidae.